This is a non-coding RNA of Pelobates cultripes (western spadefoot toad), 350 nucleotides long. The record is from the annotation of a GenBank genome assembly. Lineage: Eukaryota; Metazoa; Chordata; Amphibia; Anura; Pelobatidae.
GUUUGAGAUUGACUUAUAAAUAAUGCAUUCCAUUUUCUUUCUAUAUGUAUCUGAUAAUUGCCCCCAGAGCUUGGCGUCUUAUUCUCCAUGCAAUUUGAUCAAAUACCUGAGCACAUGUGCUCGACAAAUUGAGAAACGCUUACGAGUCCUGAUGGAGUAAAAUAAAAGAAAUGCUUGCAUUGAUUAGGAUGCAAUGAUGAACGCGUUGUUUAUGCUGCAGAUAGUACCCUGUUUUUAGAAAGGCAGAUGCUUAAAAUUGAAUCAAUUUGCUGGCAACCUUUUUGUAUGUACACUCAGAGCUUGUUAACAAGGAUCUGACAUAUGUUAUAAUUAUUCUGGAUGAAAUGGGC